AUGUUCGCCUCGGCGUCUAAUGGGUCUCGGUUUUGGAGGGAUCUUAUUAGGGUCAGGGACGUUUUCCGUGAUCAUGUUAAGUUCCUCGUCAGGAAUGGUGCUUCGACUCGCUUCUCGUUGGAUUGGUCGACUGGGGACGCACCUUUAGCGUCCUCUUUUCCGGUUCUAUUCUCUUACUGUCCGGAGCCUGGGAUCUCAAUCUCUAAGCUCUCUUGCAAUGGCUGGGAUCUGGGUCUUCGGACAACUCUCUCUCCCGUAGAGUUGGCGGACUGGCACUGGCUUGCUACCUUGUUCCCUAUUCUCUCAGAGGGGGAGGACUCGGUGACUUCGCGCCAUGUCGCUUUUGGUAGAUUUUCGGUCAAGUCUCUUUAUGCUAGGCUUAUAGAUGGAUCCCCCACUUCUAAGUUUAAACAAGUCUGGUCGGCCAAGAUCACCCCUAAGAUUAAGAUUUUCCUUUGGCAGGCCAUUAGAGGCCGCUUGCCUGCGGCGGAUCAGAUCCGUAAGAGGAAUGGACCUGGUUCUACCUUUUGUGCUCUUUGUUCUGCAACUGAGAAUACCAAUCAUAUCUUCUUCGGUUGUCCUUUGGCCAAGUUGGCCUGGGGCUGUGUCCGCUCGUGGUUGAACGUCUCUUGGGACCCUUCCUCCUUCUCUGACCUACGCUCUUUGACAGCCAACAUUCAGGUUCAGAUGAAGAGGCUUUUUGGAUUGGGUUGGGGGGCCUUUGUUGGUCUUUGUGGACUACUAGGAACCAAUUCACCAUUGACGGUGUUUUCCCUAACAAGUCGGUGGAUGUACUGUUUGAUAUGUCUAUCUUCUUGCAGAAGUGGAAAUUAUUGA
RNAcentral lists this ribosomal RNA (837 nucleotides) under Triticum aestivum (bread wheat). Its description in RNAcentral is "partial small subunit ribosomal RNA". Lineage: Eukaryota; Viridiplantae; Streptophyta; Magnoliopsida; Poales; Poaceae. The record is from RNAcentral.